This 77-nucleotide transfer RNA is filed under the name Pseudorhodobacter sp. RNAcentral describes it as "tRNA-Met". It matches the Rfam family "tRNA". From Rfam's summary of the family: Transfer RNA (tRNA) molecules are approximately 80 nucleotides in length. Their secondary structure includes four short double-helical elements and three loops (D, anti-codon, and T loops). Lineage: Bacteria; Pseudomonadati; Pseudomonadota; Alphaproteobacteria; Rhodobacterales; Paracoccaceae. The record is from RNAcentral.
GGCUGGGUAGCUCAGUUGGUUAGAGCACGUGACUCAUAAUCACGGGGUCGGGAGUUCAAAUCUCCCCCCCGCCACCA